ACAUGCAGUCGAGCGGACAGAAGGGAGCUUGCUCCCGGAUGUUAGCGGCGGACGGGUGAGUAACACGUGGGUAACCUGCCUGUAAGACUGGGAUAACUCCGGGAAACCGGAGCUAAUACCGGAUAGUUCCUUGAACCGCAUGGUUCAAGGAUGAAAGACGGUUUCGGCUGUCACUUACAGAUGGACCCGCGGCGCAUUAGCUAGUUGGUGGGGUAAUGGCUCACCAAGGCGACGAUGCGUAGCCGACCUGAGAGGGUGAUCGGCCACACUGGGACUGAGACACGGCCCAGACUCCUACGGGAGGCAGCAGUAGGGAAUCUUCCGCAAUGGACGAAAGUCUGACGGAGCAACGCCGCGUGAGUGAUGAAGGUUUUCGGAUCGUAAAGCUCUGUUGUUAGGGAAGAACAAGUGCGAGAGUAACUGCUCGCACCUUGACGGUACCUAACCAGAAAGCCACGGCUAACUACGUGCCAGCAGCCGCGGUAAUACGUAGGUGGCAAGCGUUGUCCGGAAUUAUUGGGCGUAAAGGGCUCGCAGGCGGUUUCUUAAGUCUGAUGUGAAAGCCCCCGGCUCAACCGGGGAGGGUCAUUGGAAACUGGGAAACUUGAGUGCAGAAGAGGAGAGUGGAAUUCCACGUGUAGCGGUGAAAUGCGUAGAGAUGUGGAGGAACACCAGUGGCGAAGGCGACUCUCUGGUCUGUAACUGACGCUGAGGAGCGAAAGCGUGGGGAGCGAACAGGAUUAGAUACCCUGGUAGU
This 757-nucleotide ribosomal RNA is filed under the name Bacillus sp. ZD09. RNAcentral describes it as "bacterial SSU rRNA". It matches the Rfam family "Bacterial small subunit ribosomal RNA", at positions 53 to 794 of the family's 1533-position model. The record is from RNAcentral. Lineage: Bacteria; Bacillati; Bacillota; Bacilli; Caryophanales; Bacillaceae.